Molecule: ribosomal RNA, 450 nt
Filed under: uncultured bacterium
Lineage: Bacteria
Description: partial 16S ribosomal RNA
Rfam family: Bacterial small subunit ribosomal RNA
Source: RNAcentral
GUGGGGAAUUUUGGACAAUGGGCGCAAGCCUGAUCCAGCAAUGCCGCGUGCAGGAAGAAGGCCUUCGGGUUGUAAACUGCUUUUGUACGGAACGAAACGGUCCGGGUUAAUACCCUGGGCUAAUGACGGUACCGUAAGAAUAAGCACCGGCUAACUACGUGCCAGCAGCCGCGGUAAUACGUAGGGUGCAAGCGUUAAUCGGAAUUACUGGGCGUAAAGCGUGCGCAGGCGGUUUUGUAAGACAGGCGUGAAAUCCCCGGGCUCAACCUGGGGAUUGCGCUUGUGACUGCAAGGCUGGAGUGCGGCAGAGGGGGAUGGAAUUCCGCGUGUAGCAGUGAAAUGCGUAGAUAUGCGGAGGAACACCGAUGGCGAAGGCAAUCCCCUGGGCCUGCACUGACGCUCAUGCACGAAAGCGUGGGGAGCAAACAGGAUUAGAAACCCCAGUAGUCC